UACGUAGGGCGCAAGCGUUGUCCGGAAUUAUUGGGCGUAAAGAGCUCGUAGGCGGUCUGUCACGUCUGCCGUGAAAACCCGAGGCUUAACCUCGUGGCUUGCGGUGGAUACGGGCAGACUAGAGGUAGGUAGGGGAGAACGGAAUUCCCGGUGUAGCGGUGAAAUGCGCAGAUAUCGGGAGGAACACCGGUGGCGAAGGCGGUUCUCUGGGCCUUACCUGACGCUGAGGAGCGAAAGCAUGGGGAGCGAACAGG
Molecule: ribosomal RNA, 254 nt
Filed under: uncultured bacterium
Lineage: Bacteria
Also listed under: 1 other name
Description: partial 16S ribosomal RNA
Rfam family: Bacterial small subunit ribosomal RNA
Source: RNAcentral